Scomber scombrus (Atlantic mackerel) is the source of this 887-nucleotide long non-coding RNA. RefSeq lists it as uncharacterized. Lineage: Eukaryota; Metazoa; Chordata; Actinopteri; Scombriformes; Scombridae. The transcript has 3 exons. The record is from RefSeq and is a predicted model, not a curated record.
GGCACAGAGGACAACCUAUGCAACAAAAGCUUGCUGCAGAGCCCAGCGACUGUCCGACCACUCAGCGGACACACACACGGAGACAGUGACUGACACGACCCGGCGAGGUACGACUGCAGGGCCAGCGUUAGAUUGCCGCCAGGACCAAAAAACGACGUCUCAGCGACAUUUAUGAAGCUUUCAAGGCCUUUUGAUUGAUCAGCCAAUCGAUGGGGAUUUUACGAGGAGCUCCGCCCACCUUCGCUGCCUGCCCUCCUUCUCCCCCCUCCACCUGCGGCCCCUCCCUCGCCCCAGCCCACUCCGUCAUCCAGCCCUCCAUCCAGCCCUCCAUACACAAAAUGACUCUGGAAUUUACUGAAUGGUCUUCUAUAUGGAUUUUUACUGCUUGUAAUAGACAGUAAACAAAGAAAAGAGGGAGAAACCUCAAUGACAAAUAAGCCAUAAACACACACACACCACACAUACACACUCACACACACACACACACACACACACACACACACACACACACACACACACACACACACACACACACACACACACACACACACACACACACACACACACAAACACAUGCACACCCCAUUCACACACUAACAUUAGGCAUGUAAACACUGACAUACCAAAUAGAGUUGUUUUUGUCAGGCAGGAUCUCGCACACCUGACACACACAAAAAGAAGCAAACGCACAAACUUACUCCUGGAAUGUAUCGCACACUGUUCCUGUGAAAAUUCAACCGCUUCCUUUUAUUUCUGGGGUUUUCUACAAGCCUUUGGAAAGCUGAUUUUAAUAUUUUUUUCGACUCUGGGGGGAAAACAAGGAGGCGGGAGAGAGGAUUAAAACGUUUUGCAUUUCAAGCUGCAGUGUUUUUGAAGGACAAGUUCUC